GCAUCGGUGGUUUAGUGGUAAAAUUAGCCGUUGCCAUCUGUUUCAGAUCAAUUCGGCUAGCCCCGGGUUCGAUUCCCGGCCGAUGCA
This 87-nucleotide transfer RNA is filed under the name Setomelanomma holmii. It matches the Rfam family "tRNA". Rfam says of the family: Transfer RNA (tRNA) molecules are approximately 80 nucleotides in length. The record is from Rfam by way of RNAcentral. RNAcentral also lists the same sequence under 1 other name. Lineage: Eukaryota; Fungi; Ascomycota; Dothideomycetes; Pleosporales; Phaeosphaeriaceae.